GCUGGGCAUGGUGGUGCAUGCCUGUAAUCCCAGCUACUCAGGAGGCUGAGGUGGGAGAAUUGCUUGAACCUGGGAGGCGGAGGCUGCAGUGAGCCGAGAUCGCGCCACUGCACUCCACCCUGGGUGACAGAGCAAGACUCCGUCUCAA
This is an unclassified non-coding RNA of Macaca mulatta (Rhesus monkey), 148 nucleotides long. It matches the Rfam family "Metazoan signal recognition particle RNA". Rfam says of the family: The signal recognition particle (SRP) is a universally conserved ribonucleoprotein. NCBI's taxonomy places the organism in Eukaryota, Metazoa, Chordata, Mammalia, Primates, Cercopithecidae. The record is from Ensembl.